RNAcentral lists this ribosomal RNA (154 nucleotides) under Staurastrum brachiatum. Its description in RNAcentral is "5.8S ribosomal RNA". It matches the Rfam family "5.8S ribosomal RNA". From Rfam's summary of the family: 5.8S ribosomal RNA (5.8S rRNA) is a component of the large subunit of the eukaryotic ribosome. The record is from RNAcentral. Lineage: Eukaryota; Viridiplantae; Streptophyta; Zygnematophyceae; Desmidiales; Desmidiaceae.
AAACUCUCAACAACGGAUAUCUUGGCUCUUGCAACGAUGAAGAACGCAGCGAAAUGCGAUACGUAGUGUGAAUUGCAGAAUUCCGUGAAUCAUCGAAUGUUUGAACGCAUAUUGCGCCCGAGACUUCGGUCGAGGGCAUGUCUGUUUGAGCGCC